AUAUAUAUCAACCUCUUCAGUCUUUUUGCUUGUUGAGCGUUGGAUGUGGGGGUUAUUUUUUGCUGGACUCUUUUUGAGGUCAGCUCCCCUAAAAUACAUUAGCGAAACAAUUUGGUUACUGCUCAUUGGUGUGAUAAUUAUCUACGCUAUUGACGGUGAAUCGCAGUUCAGCUUCUAAAUGUCCAUUGGUUUGGACAAACCACUUUUCAUUA
This 212-nucleotide unclassified non-coding RNA is filed under the name uncultured Cortinarius. Its description in RNAcentral is "sequence contains ITS2". The record is from RNAcentral. Lineage: Eukaryota; Fungi; Basidiomycota; Agaricomycetes; Agaricales; Cortinariaceae.